This 465-nucleotide ribosomal RNA is filed under the name uncultured bacterium. Its description in RNAcentral is "partial 16S ribosomal RNA". It matches the Rfam family "Bacterial small subunit ribosomal RNA", at positions 28 to 507 of the family's 1533-position model. The record is from RNAcentral.
GACGAACGCUGGCGGCGUGCUUAACACAUGCAAGUCGAACGGUAAGGCUCCAGCUUGCUGGGGUACACGAGUGGCGAACGGGUGAGUAACACGUGGGUGACCUGCCCUGCACUUCGGGAUAAGCCUGGGAAACUGGGUCUAAUACCGGAUAGGACCGCACCGUGAGGGUGUGGUGGAAAGUUUUUUCGGUGUGGGAUGGGCCUGCGGCCUAUCAGCUUGUUGGUGGGGUAAUGGCCUACCAAGGCGGCGACGGGUAGCCGGCCUGAGAGGGUGGACGGCCACAUUGGGACUGAGACACGGCCCAGACUCCUACGGGAGGCAGCAGUGGGGAAUAUUGCACAAUGGGCGGAAGCCUGAUGCAGCGACGCCGCGUGGGGGAUGACGGCCUUCGGGUUGUAAACUCCUUUCACCAUCGACGAAGGGUUUCUGACGGUAGAUGGAGAAGAAGCACCGGCUAACUACGUG